RNAcentral lists this transfer RNA (64 nucleotides) under Coleoptera sp. ACP-2013. RNAcentral's name for it is "tRNA-Ala". Lineage: Eukaryota; Metazoa; Arthropoda; Insecta; Coleoptera. The record is from RNAcentral.
UAGGAUAAUAGUUAAAUUAACAUUUAACUUGCAAUUAAAAAAUAUUGAAAUUUCAAUUUAUCUU